Papio anubis (olive baboon) is the source of this 148-nucleotide unclassified non-coding RNA. It matches the Rfam family "Metazoan signal recognition particle RNA". From Rfam's summary of the family: The signal recognition particle (SRP) is a universally conserved ribonucleoprotein. It is involved in the co-translational targeting of proteins to membranes. NCBI's taxonomy places the organism in Eukaryota, Metazoa, Chordata, Mammalia, Primates, Cercopithecidae. The record is from Ensembl.
GCCAGGCUUGGUGGCGUGUGCCUGUAAUCCCAGCUACUUGGGAGGCUGAGGCAGGAGAAUCGCUUGAACCCAGGAGGUGGAGGUUGCAGUGAGCCGAAAUCACGCCACUGCACUCCAGCCUGGGCAACAAAGUGAGACUCUGUCUCAA